GCAUUAAUGGGGUAGUGGUAACCUGGGUCGUUGCCAUAUCUGUACUUUGAUGAGACUCGACCCGCCGGGGGUUCGAUUCCCCCUUAAUGCA
This is a non-coding RNA of Paramarasmius palmivorus, 91 nucleotides long. The record is from the annotation of a GenBank genome assembly. Lineage: Eukaryota; Fungi; Basidiomycota; Agaricomycetes; Agaricales; Marasmiaceae.